This is a long non-coding RNA of Tympanuchus pallidicinctus (lesser prairie-chicken), 4943 nucleotides long. RefSeq lists it as uncharacterized. NCBI's taxonomy places the organism in Eukaryota, Metazoa, Chordata, Aves, Galliformes, Phasianidae. The transcript has 2 exons. The record is from RefSeq and is a predicted model, not a curated record.
UGCACCCAAAUGGGGAUGUGGUUCAUCAACUUAUUUCUGGACUCUCUGGCUCUAAUUUAGGAGUGCAAGUGGGACUCCUGUGGGUGUCCUCUGUUGUGCAGCAGAGGCUCUUUGGAGGUCAAUGGACUUGCACUGGCAUUCAUUCCUUCUGCCUUGCAAAAUGCCAGGCCCUUUGGCCAUGGUUGGGUGCUGGUGGGAAGACAUGGUGCAUCACAACAGAGUGAAGCGAAGGGCCGGUCCCUGAUCCAUGUCACAACCUGCUUGUGUGAACACGGUGCUCUGUGUCCCCCUUUGCCACUGCUGACAAAUUAAUGGCUGCCAUUUAUGGCUGUGGCACCAUGGAGUUAUGGUUGAGAACAACCAUAUGGUUGAGAACAAUCUGCUUUGCACCAAUCCUGAUGGCUGUGUUUUUCCACUGGGAUCCUUCGUACUGUGACUUGAGGAUUAUGUGACGUAGGGUCCCACCCCAACUGCACCCCGUGAGUGCAUCCACCUGGUUUGUGAAUGGGAAGAGCAGGCAAAAACAAUUUGGAGGGCUUCCAUUUCCCAGGUUGCGAUGAGAUCAGAAGAAUACAGUAACCUUUGUUUUAUGUAUUUCUGCUGGAGAAUGUAAAACUUGCGACUGUAAUAUUUGAACCCAGAACUUCAAUGAAGAAGUGGAUCUUCAGCACCUUUAUGACACCUGACUGACCUUUGAUAUCACCAGUGUAGGCACCCAGACUGCUUAAUUAUCAACCACAUCAUCAGGGAGUGCUUCUUUGUGGCACGUGGCAAUGUAUUCACCUCACGCUGACUUUGGCAUUCAGGAAAAAAACCCAAGAGGUAAAUAAAACACCAUGUCACUUUGGAUAUUAGCAGCUCUGAUUAGUCAGAGAGGGCACUGAGGCUGGAGGAUGUCCAGCCUUCAAAUAAGCAGGAAGGAAAACAUUAUAUUGUGUUGUCUGCUGGGUGAGUGAGUGCACUGCAAAAGUUGAAGCCAUGUAGUGAAACUACCACAAUGCUUUGAUGGCACUUCGCUGUUAUUAAUAUCACUCUGUCUGCAGUGUGUGCAAUUAACUUAGGAGAAAGUUGCCAAAUAUCCCUAAAGGUGGCAGCUUGAUCAGAUGCAGAAAUGAUUCUGAAAUAGGGAUGAUCUCUGUUUCUCCACCCUUGACAAAGAAGACCAGAUUUAGUGGCCAGAAUAACUUUUUAUGAUCAGUUCAAGCUCUUGAACCCUGCACAGGCAAAUGGGCUGACUAUGGAUAAAGGUACAGAUGAGAUUUGGGAUUUGCAUAUCAAGGCUUGCUGGCUCAUUUUAUGGGAGCAACUUUCUCACAAAAAAAAAAAAAAAAGCCUUGGUAGUGAUUCAUGUGUUUGAGUCAAAAACUGACCUGGUUUUGGGGAGGAGAAAAGCUACGUAAUACAGCAAUGGUAGGAAAGAAGAUAAUAAUCAGGGAAGUCGUUCCUUGCAGGCAGCAUGAAGUUCUGUCUGUGGUGACUCAUGGUUCAGUUCCUCAUCUUAUGGAGGCGGUUCAAUUCUGUUAGGCACUGAGCAGAGUUUCUUCCAUUUCUUUGUGCUUAAGUCGUAAAAACCCUUCUCUGGUGGUUGGCAAGGGAGAGAGGUGGUAUGGUGCUGUGCUUAAAAAAAAUUAGGGAGUCUACUGAAUUUAAAUCAGCUCCCCUAAUUGAAUUAGGUAGCAUCUAUGACAAGCUAAGUGCAUGAAUGAAUAGAUUGGCAGGGCAAGGUCCACUUCCAAACACACCGUUGUGCUUUACAGAGGUGCUGUAGCUUUGAGAGUAGCAGUCCUUGGGGACCUUGCAUAGAUGCUGGAUUAUUACUGUAGCUAUGGGAAAUCAUAGAGUAUUACAGUCUGGCAAAAGCUGAAAGGACUUGGUCUGCAUCUCAACGGGAAGUGGGCUUGGAUCGGUCUCCAGGUUAUUUGGGCUUCGUGGUGGUUUGAUACAGUCAGUUGCAAAGAUUGUAUCAGUGCUUGGUUUUGAGAGAAAGCAUUUUGGAGCAGAUUUAAGCUUGGAAUAAACAAUCCUCUGGGCUGAUUUGAGCAGGACAGCCAACCUUUUUUUUCCCCUUUGUACUUUGACUGUGUUUUCUUCUCCUAUCCGUCACUGAGUCCAUUAAUCUGUCAUGGGGACAUUUGCCCAACUGUGUUAGACAAGCAAAUAGUCUUUGUCAAAGUGCUUCUAUGGUUCAGCACAAACAUCUGUAGAAAACAUGGUGCUGCUGCUGUGAAUGAGAAGGGCAGAGCAUGCAUCUUCUGAAUGCCUGACUGUAGGAGGCAGAAAUGGUGUUCUUAAAAACCCUGCAAUGCUGUCCAUGUAAGACUUGUUUUCUUCCUUUCUCCCUGUUGCUGUUCUUUGAAUGUUAGACUAAAUGAGGAGUCUUGCUUUUGCCUUGGGUAUAAAGAGGACAUGGAGAGCUUUCUUUUUCUUAUUCAUAUAUAUUAGUCUUCUAUAUAAAAUAUUUUUAUAUAGAUAUUUUCUGUGCAGAAAUCUCAACCACCUCCUGAAAAUGGAAACACUAAAUAAGUACAUAGCUGUGACAUCUACUGGCUGUCUCUAACAGCUAUAUUAUUUACCAUUUCCCAAGCCAGAAGUUGGAGUGCAGUCGGAACAGGUUCAUCCAGUCAGUGGCAGAAAAGAGAGGCACCUCCCCCAUCCCUUGAAGUUGAAUGUGUUUGUGUCAAAUCAAAUCCAAUACUCCCUUGGUUAAGACUCUACGGCCUCAUUACCAGCAGAUGCUGUGGGGAGAUUGAAGAUCAGGAUAGAGUCUUUGGGACCUGAUAAGAGACCUCUUAUCAGUCUGAAGCUCAAGGCACUCCUGAGCUGAUGGAUGUUUGGUGACAAACAUCACUGGGGGAAUCACCUUCUGGGAAGACUUCUAUCGUCUGUGAUGGCGUCUGACAAGACUAGCUUACCUGGACACCUAAGAUGAGAUUCUUCCCACUGAAUAUUAUGUUCAAUGAGCAUUUGGUUUAGAAUCACAGAAUCGUUUGAGUUGGAAGGGAGCCAGAAAGGCCGCCUGGUCCAACCUCCCUGCAAUGAAUAGGGACACCCACAGCCCCAUCAGAUGCUCAGAGCCCUGGCCAGCCUGACCCUGGGUUUCUUCAGGGAUGGGGUAUCCACCACCUCUCUGCAUUUGGCACUUAGAUUUGGCACUGUACACUUUGCAGUUUUACUUCUCCUGAUAGCCAAGCUGGGAAAAUUUGAGUGAUCCCACUCCUUUUUAACACUGGUGAGAGAUGGUGAAUGUUGGGAAGGUCUCUUCUUUACAACAGGACUUAAAUAAGGCUAUCAGAAUGUUGAGAUCACUAUUUGAAUGGAAUGCAUCUUCUGGGGGAAGGGAUUUCCUUCCAGGCCUGGACUUCAAGGGCCAUAAAUGUUUUUACAGCUACAAUACAUUGAAGGACUCCAACCAGAAGACACCAUGUGAUCAUGCAAGCAAACCCAAACAAGCAAACAGUCAUCUUUUCAGAGAACAAAAGGUCAAAGGGGGGCAGUGCCAUGAGGUCCUAGCCUGGAAAAACAGACCCUUUAUCAUGAAAGGGCCAGGGCAGUGCAUGUGGAGACAUCAUACACAUUGGGAGGGAAUGAGCCUUUCCAACUCAGAAAGUACUGUUCUCUGUCACAUGAAAACAAUAGCUCAGCACUGUGAAGGCAUCUGGUUUAGUUCAUGGGAACAAGAUUUUUCUUGCUCCCCAUGGGUUCAAUGCAUGAAUUAGAUAGAGAGCUCCAGGGCUCUCUAGUUCUCUUUUUUUCCUGGUAGCAACCUCCAGUGAACACAUAGCUCCACUAAUUGCACACCUGAAGGGAGCACUCCAGCAGCAACCAGGACCCAACCUUUGGUCUAAGAAGCCUUGAACCUCCCAUGCCUUUCCAGCUCUCUUCAUCUCCUUUUGCUAAUCCUGGGAAUGUUGGCUCCUCUCCUGCUAGCAAAAGGUUUACCUUUCCCUGAGCAUUUCAAAUGAAAUCCGAGACCAAGCACAGUGCUGCACCUUGCAACAGUUCUCUCACUUUUAUCUUGUUUAAUAAUGACAUUUCCUGGCAAUUGUGUGAGCCAUCUGGAACAAGAGAUACCUUGAAACCAGAAAACUGAGGGUAGCUGGAUUGUCUGUUUGCCAUUAACCUUUUAUACUUUGCUUUACAAGGAAGGGUGGGAAUGGGAAGGCUGUAUUUAUCCUCCUGCUGAUGGGCCUGGCCUGCUCACCUCCCACAUGCUUCACACUUCAGCAGACUCAAUAUAUGGAUCUGUUUUGUUUAGCAGUAUCUGUGUCAGGAAGAGCAUCAGCUUUCUGACACCCAUCGUGAUGGAAUGCUGCCUCAUUGCCUCAUUCCAAGACACAGUUAGUGGCAUAUCUGUUGCCCCACAGCAGUGCCUGCUGGCAGAGUAAUGCCUUUGGUAUCCCAGUCCAACAAUAGGAAAGGGAAUGGCUCAGGUGAACCAGCUGUCCUUCCCACCACUGGGAAUCACACACACCCAGUUGUGCUUUAUCCAGUACAUCCACAAUGAUGUAAUGGGGUCCAGGAACUGAGCUCAUUUAAAAAGAAGAUUGUGUGAAGCACAGUCCGGUAUCCUUUAUCAGAGGGCAGCAGAGAGGUCUGCUCUCUGGAGGUGAAUGAUGAGGAAGAGUGUAGACAAGAGGAGAAAUAAAGCCUAUAAUGUUGGCUGAACUCUACUUCCCUCGCUUGUGUGCUUAAAAUCAUUUGCUAGUUCAGGAAGAGCAUCUAGUGCUAGAUUCCUGUCCUUCUGUGACUUCCCCACCUUUGCUUCUCCCAGCUCCGGAUUCAUCCCACCCAUCAGGCACUCAGGUUGAACUGUGGCCAGAGCAGUGCUUAGGCUUCACUAUGUGAGCUGAAUAAAGGCACAUUCACAGGGCAGCUGAGUAGCAGCAGCUCGAGACACGUUAAAUCAGUGGGAUUGUUCAUUCUGGAGGAGUCUCAGGGGAGAU